CGACUCUCGGCAACGGAUAUCUCGGCUCUCGCAUCGAUGAAGAACGUAGCGAAAUGCGAUACUUGGUGUGAAUUGCAGAAUCCCGUGAACCAUCGAGUCUUUGAACGCAAGUUGCGCCAGAAGCCGUCAGGCCGAGGGCACGCCUGCCUGGGCGUCACG
RNAcentral lists this ribosomal RNA (159 nucleotides) under Acacia victoriae. Its description in RNAcentral is "5.8S ribosomal RNA". It matches the Rfam family "5.8S ribosomal RNA". Rfam says of the family: 5.8S ribosomal RNA (5.8S rRNA) is a component of the large subunit of the eukaryotic ribosome. It is transcribed by RNA polymerase I as part of the 45S precursor that also contains 18S and 28S rRNA. Functionally, it is thought that 5.8S rRNA may be involved in ribosome translocation. The record is from RNAcentral. Lineage: Eukaryota; Viridiplantae; Streptophyta; Magnoliopsida; Fabales; Fabaceae.